CUCCACUGUGAGAAAAACCCCAGCCACAUCUCCAGCACACAAGAACUUCCAAACGCCUGAACCGCAGCAGCCAGGCAUUCCUCCAGAACCUCCUCCCAUAGGAGCUUGCUACACAUGCCAGAAAUCUGGCCACUGGGCCAAGGAAUGCCCACAGCCCGGGAUUCCUCCUAAGCCGUGUCCCAUCUGUGUGGGACCCCACUGAAAAUCGGACUGUUCAACUCACCUGGCAGCCACUCGCAGAGCCCCUGGAACUCUGGCCCAAGCCUCUCUGACUGACUCCUUCGCAGAUCUUCUUGGCUUAGCGGCUGAAGACUGACACUGCCGGAUCGCCUCGGAAGCCCCCUAGACCACCACGGAUGCUGAGCUUCGGGUAACUCUCACAGUGGAAAGUAAGCCCGUCCCCUUCUUCAUCAAUACAGAGGCUACCCACUCCACAUUACCUUCUUUUCAAGGGCUGUUUCCCUUGCCUCCAUAACUGUUGUGGGUAUUGACGGCCAGGCUUCUAAACCUCUUAAAACUCCCCAAUUCUUCCAUUCUGUCAGACAUAAUUCCUCAGUUUAGCCUUCCCACCUCAAUACAGUCUGAUAACAGAUCAGCCUUUAUUAGUCAAAUCAGCCAAGCAGUUUUUCAGGCUCUGAGUAUUCAGUGAAACCUUUAUAUCCCUUAUGGUCCUCCAUCUUCAAGAAAAGUAGAAUGGACUAAAGGUCUUUUAAAAACACUCCUCACCAAGCUCAGCCACCAACUUAAAAAGGACUGGACAAUACUUUUACCACUUUCCCUUCUCAGAAUUCAGGCCUGUCCUCGGAAUGCUACAGGGUACAGCCCAUUUAAGCUCCUGUAUAGAUGCUCCUUUUUAUUAGGCCCCAGUCUCAUUCCAGACACCAGACCAACUUAGACUGUGCCCCAAAAAAAACUUGUCAUCCCUACUAUUUUCUGUCUAGUCAUCCUCCUAUUCACCGUUCUCAACUACUCAUACAUGCCUUGCUCUUGUUUACACUGCCGGUUUACACUGUUUUUCCAAGCCAUCACAGCUGAUAUCUCCUGGUGCUAUCCCCAAACUGUCACUAUUAACUCUUGAAGUAAAUAAAUAAUCUUUGCUGGCAGGACUAUGCUGAAUCUCCUUAGGCACUCUCUAAUCAGAUAUCCUGAGUCGUCCCAAUUCUUAGACCUUUUAUACCUGUUUUUCUCCUUCUGUUAUUCCAUUUAGUUUCUCAAUUCAUCCAAAACCGUAUCUAGGCCAUCACCAAUCAUUCUAUAUGACAAAUGUUUCUUCUAACAUCCCCACAAUAUCACCCCUUACCACAAGACCUCCCUUCAGCUUAAUCUCUCCCACUCUAGGUUCCCACGCCGACCCUAAUCCCACUUGAAGCAUAUUGCUCACACAAAGCCUGUUUGGUGGUCUCUUCACAUGGACGUGCAUGAAAUUUGGUGCCGUGACUCAGAUCGGGGGACCUCCCUUGGGAGAUCAAUCCCCUGUCCUCCUGUUGUUUGCUCCAUGAGAAAGAUCCACCUACGACCUCAGGUCCUCAGACUGACCAGCCCAAGGAACAUCUCACCAAUUUUAAAUCAGGUAAGCGGCCUCUUCUUACUCUCUUCUCCAACCUCUCUCACUGUCCCUCAACCAUUUUCUCCUUUCCACUCUUCAAUCUCUCCCUUCUCUUAAUUUCAAUUCCCUUCAUUUUCUGGGAGAGACAAAGGAGACACGUUUUAUCCGUGGACCCAAAACUCCAGCACCGGUCACGGACUAGGAAGGCAGACUUCCCUUGGUGUUUAAUCAUUGCAAGGACACCUCUCUGAUUAUUCAUCCACAUUUCAAAGGUGUCAGACCACGCAGGGAUGCCUGCCGUGGUCCUUCACCCUUAGCGACAAGUCCCGCUUUUCUGGGAAAGGGGCAAGUACCCCAACCCCUUCUCUCCUUGUCUCUACCCCUUCUCUGCUUUUCUGGGGGAGGGGCAAGUACCCCUCAACCCCUUCUCCUUCAACCUUAGUGGCAAGUCCCGCUUUUCUGGGGGAGGGGCAAGUACCCCUCAACCCCUUCUCCUUCACUCUUAGUGGCAAGUCCCACUUUUCUAGAGGAGGGGGCAAGUACCCCAACCUCAUAUCUCUGUGCUCCAAUCCCUUAUUUCCAUGCCGCGACCCCUUAUUUCCGUGCCCCGACCCCUUAUUUCCAUGCCCCGACCCCUUAUUUCCAUGCCCCAUCCCUUAUUUCUAUGCCUCAACCUCUUAUCUCUGUGCCCCAACCCCUUUUCCCACUUUUCUGGAAGGUAAGAACCCCCAAACCCCUUCCCUCCAUUUCUCUACUCUCUCUUUUCUCUAGGCUUGCUUCCUUCACUAUAGGCAACUUUCCACCCUCCAUUCCUCCUUCUACUCCCUUGGCCUGUGUUCUCAAAAACUUAAAACCUCUUCAACUCACAUCUGACCUAAAACCUAAAUGCCUUAUUUUCUUCUGCAAUGCCGCUUGACCCCAGUACAAACUUGACAGUAGUUCCAAAUAGCCAGAAAAUGGCACUUUGAAUUUUUCCAUCCUGCAAGAUCUAAAUAAUUCUUGUCAUAAAAUAGGUAAACGGUCUGAGGUGCCUGACGUCCAGGCAUUCUUUUACACAUUAGUCACUUCCUAGUCUCUGUGCCCAGUGCAACUCGUCCCAAAUCUUCCUUCUUUCCCUCCCACCUGUCCCCUCAGUACCAACCCCAAGCAUUGCUGAGUCUUUCUAAUCUUCCUUUUCUGCAGACCCAUCUGACCUCUCCCUUCCUCCCCAGGCUGCUCCUUGCCAGGCUGAGCUAGGUCCCAAUUCUUCCUCAGCCUCUGCUCCUCCAUGCUAUAAUCUUUUUAUCACCUCCCCUCCUCACACUGGGUCCUGCUUACAGUUUCGUUACGUGACUAGCCCUCCCCAUCCUGCCCAGCAAUUUACUCUUAAAAAAGUGGCUGGAGCUAAAGGCAUAGUCAAGGUUAAUGCUCCUUUUUCUUUAUCCCAAAUCAGAUAGGGUUUAGGCUCUUUUUCAUCAAAUAUAAAAACCCAGCCCAGUUCAUGACUUGUUUGGCAACAACCCUGAGACACUUUACAGCCCUAGACCCUAAAACGUCAAAAGGCCGUCUUAUUCUCAAAAUACAUUUUAUAAUUAAAUUCCGGCCCUCAAACCCCACAACAGGAUUUAAUUAACCUCGCCUUCAAGGUGUAUAAUAAUAGAAAAUAGUUGCAAUUCCUUGCCUCCACUGUGAGACAAACCCCAGCCACAUCUCCAGCACACAAGAACUUCCAAACGCCUGAACCGCAGCGGCCACGCGUUCCUCCAGAACCUCCUCCCACAGGAGCUUGCUACAUGUGCCGGGAAUCUGGCCACUGGGCCAAGGAAUGCCUGCAGCCCAGGAUUCCUCCUAAGCCGCGUCCCAUCUGUGUGGGACCCCACUGAAAAUCGGACUGUUCAACUCACCUGACUCCUUCCCAGAUCUUCUCGGCUUAGCGGCUGAAGACUGACACUGCCGGAUCACCUCGGAAGCCCCCUAGAACGUCACUGACGCCGAGCUUCAGGUAACUCUCACAGUGGAAGGUAAGCCCGUCCCCUUCUUAAUCAAUACGGAGGCUACCCACUCCACAUUACCCUCUUUUCAAGGGCCUGUUUCCCUUGCCUCCAUAACUGUUGUGGGUAUUGAUGGCCAAGCUUCUAAACCUCUUAAAACUCCCCAACUCUGGUGCCAACUUAGACAAUACUCUUUUAAGCACUCCUUUGUAGUUAUCCCCACCUGCCCAGUUCCCUGAUUAGGCUGAGACACUUUAACUAAAUUAUCUGCUUCCCUGACUAUUCCUGGACUACAGCUGUAUCUCAUUGCCGCCCUUCUUCCCAAUCCAAAGCCUCCUUUGCGUCCUCCUCUUGUAUUCCCCCACCUUAACCCACAAGUAUAAGAUACCUCUACUCCCUCCUUGGGGACUGAUCAUGCACCCCUUACCAUCUCAUUAAAACCUAAUCACCCUUACCCCACUCAACGCCAAUAUCCCAUCCCGCAGCAUGCUUUAAAAAGAUUAAAGCCUGUUAUCACUCGCCUGCUACAGCAUAGUCUUUUAAAGCCUAUAAACUCUCCUUACAAUUCCCCCAUUUUACCUGUCCUAAAACCAGACAAGCCUUACAAGUUAGUUCAGGACCUGCACAUUAUCAAUCAAAUUGUUUUGCCUAUCCACCCUGUGGUGCCCAACCCGUACACUCUUUUGUCCUGAAUACCUUCCUCCACAACUCACUAUUCCCUGCUUGAUCUUAAAGACGCUUUUUUCACUAUUCCCCUGCACCCCUCGUCCCAGCCUCUCUUUGCUUUCAUUUGGACUGACCUUGACACCAUCAAGCUCAGCAAACUACCUAGGCUGUACUGCCGCAAAGCUUCACAGACAGCCCCCAUUACUUCAAUCAAGCCCAAAUUUCUUCCUGAAGUGUAAAUGGCUGGUCCUUGCCUUAAGUGAUGACAUUACCUUGUGAAAGUCCUUUUCCUGGCUCAUCCUGGUUCAAAAAGCACCCCCACUGAGCACCUUGCAACCCCCACUCCUGCCUGCCAGAGAACAACCCCCCUUUGACUGUAAUUUUCCUUUACCUACCCAAAUCCUAUAAAAGCCCACCUGCACCCAGGUGAUUAAAAGCUUUAUUGCUCACACAAAGCCUGUUUGGUGGUCUCUUCACAGGGACACGCAUGAAAAAAAUGUGCUGGGAACAGGAGAUACCAGGUAGUUCUGCCCUCAGGGCCCACUCAUGGCAGGUAGUGGUAAGCCAAGCAUUCUGGACCUUGGGCCACCAGGUGGCAUAUGCAAGCACAGUUUUAGUGAGUGCAGGUGGGCAAAUUCUUGAGACUCCAGGCAGUCUUCCUGUAUGCUGGCAGUGGGAGUGGUAAGCCAGAUCCGUGGGUGAGUCCUUAGGCCCUUAAGCCGAAUGUAUGGCCUGGAUUAUGGUAGUAGUGAUGGCAGGAUAAUUUUGGGGCUCUCAUGUGGCACUCACUAAUGUUAGCUGUUGGUAUGAUGGGCUGAGCAAGCUGGUCCCCAGGUUCCUUGGUUGUGCAUGUGCAUGGAUGUAGUUGAUGGUAUUGAUGACAGGCUAUAUGGGCUCACCUUCAGGAUUCCAGAAGUAGGGUACAGAUGCUAGAGGUGGUAGAAGGGGUUGGGUAAUCCCCAGGUCCCUGGGAGGGGUGCUCAUGCUUUGGGUGGGGGAAGCAAUGGUGACAGGUCUGGUGGGCCUGAUCUCAGGGCAUCAGGGUGUGCAGAGCUCCAGGAGGUAGUAGGCAGGGCAGGCAGUCUGUGGUGUUGGUUGUGGAGAGCCUGACCUCUGGGCUGGUGCUAGAGUGUGGUGAUCCUGCUGUUGAGUAUGGGUGGGGUUGCUAUCAGUGGUCCCCUGCAGGGAGCUCUCAGGUUCUGAGGGGUGUACACUUUCAACUCUGGCAGUAGCAGUGUCCACAGUGGUGUGUGUGAAGAGCCUGCACUCAUGACAUGCACUAGAGCACAGAGGCCAUGCUUUUGAAGGGGGCAGGGUUGCUAUUCAGAGCCCCAAACAGGCACUUCUCAGUUUCUGGGUAGUGUUUGCUUUGUCUCCUGGCUGCAGUCAGUGACUGCUAUCAUGUUCAAAGGGGUCAGAUGGAUCCUGCCUUUCUGGGUGUGAACUCAAGCACAGAGGCUGUGUUGUUGGUGGGAAUGGGGUUACUAUUUGCAUCCUCAGACAGGCAGCUGUCAGGCUCACUCACUUUGGCUCCCCGUGGCAGCAGCACUAUUGUGAUAUGCAGAAAGGGGAAGGGAUCCAUUUUCACAUGAGCCCAAGUACUGAGAACAUACUGCUAAUAGGGAUGUGGUUACUGUUUACGAAAUCUAAUGGAAACUUAGAAAAAGAAUGAAAACUCUAUCCCUAGUUUUCUAAGGAACACAUAUGGCACAGAGACAGGACUGGCAGCAAACAAAGAUAAAUGAAGAGUCACCCUCAGUGAAAUCCUGACUGCUGCUUUAAGUUCUCUACCACAUUUUGGAUUUUAGUGUUAGGAUUAUUUCUGAAGGAGUCUUCUGAACCUCAUGUUACUUACAGGAAAAACAAUAGAAUUUGAUUUACAUAAAUGUCCUUCUCAAACCCUUUGAUCAAUGGUGCUCAAGUUCCAUUUUAUCUGUAUACCCAUAGUUAUUCAAUUGUUUAACUCAUUUUCUGAGCAACCAAGUUCUCAGUGCAGAGAACUCAAUUAUGUUGUUUGCUUUUCUGAUCCACCAUCUUCUGUGUGCACUCAUGAUAGGAUGAACAUGGGAUGAAAUCAUAUUUGUAAUGAAUUAUAGAAUGAUCCCUG
This 6289-nucleotide long non-coding RNA is filed under the name Homo sapiens (human). RNAcentral's name for it is "non-protein coding lnc-PCDH8-10:1". The record is from RNAcentral. Lineage: Eukaryota; Metazoa; Chordata; Mammalia; Primates; Hominidae.